CCUACGGGGGGCAGCAGUGAGGAAUAUUGGUCAAUGGUCGGGAGACUGAACCAGCCAAGCCGCGUGAGGGAGGAAGGUACAGAGUAUCGUAAACCUCUUUUGUCAGGGAACAAAGGCGGGGACGUGUCCCCGGAUGAGUGUACCUGAAGAAAAAGCCUCGGCUAACUCCGUGCCAGCAGCCGCGGUAAUACGGAGGAUGCGAGCGUUAUCCGGAUUUAUGGGGUUUAAAGGGUGCGCAGGCGGUCUGUUAAGUCAGCGGUCAAAGCCCGGGGCUCAACCCCGGCCCGCCGUUGAAACUGGCAGUCUCGAGUUGGAGAGAAGUAUGCGGAAUGCGCGGUGUAGCGGUGAAAUGCAUAGAUAUCGCGCAGAACUCCGAUUGCGAAGGCAGCAUGCCGGCUCCACACUGACGCUGAGGCACGAAAGCGUGGGUAUCGAACAGGAUUAGAUACCCGUGUAGUC
Molecule: ribosomal RNA, 459 nt
Filed under: uncultured bacterium
Lineage: Bacteria
Description: partial 16S ribosomal RNA
Rfam family: Bacterial small subunit ribosomal RNA
Source: RNAcentral